GACCUCGGAUCAGGUAGGGAUACCCGCUGAACUUAAGCAUAUCAAUAAG
This 49-nucleotide ribosomal RNA is filed under the name Hevansia arachnophila. RNAcentral describes it as "partial 28S ribosomal RNA". The record is from RNAcentral. RNAcentral also lists the same sequence under 1 other name. Lineage: Eukaryota; Fungi; Ascomycota; Sordariomycetes; Hypocreales; Cordycipitaceae.